RNAcentral lists this ribosomal RNA (497 nucleotides) under uncultured bacterium. Its description in RNAcentral is "partial 16S ribosomal RNA". It matches the Rfam family "Bacterial small subunit ribosomal RNA", at positions 28 to 507 of the family's 1533-position model. The record is from RNAcentral.
GAUGAACGCUGGCGGCGUGCCUAAUACAUGCAAGUCGAGCGAACGGAUGAGAAGCUUGCUCCUCUGAUGUUAGCGGCGGACGGGUGAGUAACACGUGGAUAACCUACCUAUAAGACUGGGAUAACUUCGGGAAACCGUAGCUAAUACCGGAUAAUAUUUUGCACUGCAUGGUUCAAAAGUGAAAGACGCUCUUGCUGUCACUUAUAGAUUGAUCCGCGCUGCAUUAGCUAGUUGGUAAGGUAACGGCUUACCAAGGCCACGAUGCAUAGCCGACCUGAGAGGGAGAUCGAGCACACUGGAACUGAGGCACGGUCCAGACUCCUACGGGAGGCAGCAGUAGGGAAUCUUCCGCGAUGCGGGAAGGCCGAACGGAGCAACGCGGCGUGAGUGAUGAAGGUCUUCGGAUCGUAAAACUCUGUUAUUAGGAAAGAACAUAUGUGUAAGUAACUGUGCACAUCAUGACGGUACCUAAUCAGAAAGCCACGGCUAACUACGUG